This 483-nucleotide long non-coding RNA is filed under the name Homo sapiens (human). RNAcentral describes it as "HSALNT0156587". Lineage: Eukaryota; Metazoa; Chordata; Mammalia; Primates; Hominidae. The record is from RNAcentral.
GCCUGCAUUUCCCAUGGUAGAAGGAAAAGGCGCUGCACCCGGGCAACUUUUCACAGUGAAGAGAUCGCCUUUCCUGGCUGCCCCUCGGGUCCUCCUGCCCACAGACGGCAGCCCUGGAGAGACUCAUGGAGUUCAUUGUACAUUACUCCAUCUACCGAGGCAGCGCAUGGCAUGACUGAACGGCUUGGAACAAACACAGAAAUUAGCACCACAAACAUUCAGGAACCAAAUAUAAUCUGCUAUGGUCACACCACAGACAAUGCAGGAAGAGGCUUUUUAUUGCUUGUGUGUGUUUUCAAAUCAAGUAGGCACAACCCAGUCCUCAUAACAGCCCUCGGGAGUGGACGCACCGGGGCGGGAGAGCGCAGGAGGGAGUGUGCUUGGCUAUCCUGCCCAGUGGAAAGGAAAGUGACGUGCAUUGAUCUUAGAGUCCUUGGCAACAGACUGUGGAGGCAAUAACAGGAUAAAGAAAGCAGGGAGAAC